Dipodomys ordii (Ord's kangaroo rat) is the source of this 65-nucleotide non-coding RNA. The record is from Rfam. Lineage: Eukaryota; Metazoa; Chordata; Mammalia; Rodentia; Heteromyidae.
GGUGGCUCAGUGGUAGAGAGCUUGCCUUGCAUGCAUGAGACCCUGGGUUCAAUUCCUCAGCACCA